RNAcentral lists this ribosomal RNA (497 nucleotides) under uncultured bacterium. RNAcentral's name for it is "partial 16S ribosomal RNA". It matches the Rfam family "Bacterial small subunit ribosomal RNA", at positions 28 to 507 of the family's 1533-position model. The record is from RNAcentral.
GAUGAACGCUGGCGGCGUGCCUAAUACAUGCAAGUCGAGCGAACAGACGAGGAGCUUGCUCCUCUGACGUUAGCGGCGGACGGGUGAGUAACACGUGGAUAACCUACCUAUAAGACUGGGAUAACUUCGGGAAACCGGAGCUAAUACCGGAUAACAUGUUGAACCGCAUGGUUCAACAGUGAAAGACGGUUUUGCUGUCACUUAUAGAUGGAUCCGCGUCGCAUUAGCUAGUUGGUAAGGUAACGGCUUACCAAGGCAACGAUGCGUAGCCGACCUGAGAGGGUGAUCGGCCACACUGGAACUGAGACACGGUCCAGACUCCUACGGGAGGCAGCAGUAGGGAAUCGUCCGCAGUGGGCGAAAGCCUGACGGAGCAACGCCGAGUGAGUGAAGAAGGUCUUCGGAUCGUAAAACUCUGUUAUUAGGGAAGAACAAAUGUGUAAGUAACUAUGCACGUCUUGACGGUAACUAAUCAGAAAGCAACGGCUAACUACGUG